GGCUUUAUAGUCAACAAUGAUAUUAGACUGCAAUUCUAGAGGAGUAAUUAACAUUACUAAAGCUU
RNAcentral lists this transfer RNA (65 nucleotides) under Coenomyia ferruginea. RNAcentral's name for it is "tRNA-Cys". The record is from RNAcentral. Lineage: Eukaryota; Metazoa; Arthropoda; Insecta; Diptera; Xylophagidae.